CUCAACUUUACUAAAACGCAAAUUCAGUUCAACAAGGUUCUUUGGCUUGAAAUUUGAUGGCAGUGUCCUUAAUGGAUAUGUGUCCCAAUGAAGAUAUCUCAAUUUUUUAGGAAGAUAAUCUAGGCCAUUUGGAAGCUGCACUUUAGAGUAUGAAAGUUGCUCUUCAAUGCUCAUACUUAGAAACUUUUCAAUCUCAGGUACAUAAAAUUUGAGCAAUCUUAGAUUAGACAUUUUUGUGAAGGCUCCUGGGUCUAAAUUGAUGCCUUUUAUUUUGGACAAAUCCAGAAAUAUGCCUUCAAUUGCAUCGGUCCCCUUAUUAAAAAAAAAAAAACAAAGAAUGAGUAACCCUAAAACAGAAAAGAAACAUUCGCAAACUUUAUUAACUAAGAACUCCUUAAACAAAAACAAAUUCUGCAAUCUUUGAUUUUAUUUUUUAAAAAUAUUAAAUAUCUAUAUAUGAGAAAAGAAAAUUUUGGGGACCAUUGCAAAAUUAAACUAACCAAAAAAAAAAUUCAAAAUUUCUCUAAUUUACAAACCUGUUAUCUUAAUAACUAGAAGUUGAGAAGACAAGGCCUAUUUGAUUGGUAUAAGAUUUCGAUUUGUUUUUUAGUCCAUAGAAUCCAAAAUGUUAGUUCAAAAUUAGGGAAAAAAAAUGAAAGUUAUUUUUUUUCCACUAGUUGUAAUUGUUUCCAAGUCAAAUUGAGAUACGACCCUUUUCGAAAGGAUUUAAUCAUCUUAUAGCCUCCUUAAGAUACAUUUAAGCUAAAAGGAGUGAUUGGAGGCAGAACUUAGUGGGCCAAUCAGUUCAUUUUAUUAGCGACUGUUGCUUAAAAAAAAUUAUACUCUAAAACACACUUACUUUUUUGAAAAAAAAUAUAAUUAUAUUGAAGUAGAACCAGGUGGGCCAAUCCUCAUGGCACUCACUUUGUUCUGACACUCUUCACUAAAUUUGAAGAAAAAUAAAAUUAUACUCUUCACACUCUUAUUCAACAUUCCAAAAUUGAUAAAAUCUGGAGUUUUCUUUAAAAUUUUAAAAUUUGAAGACUUGUUCUCUUGACACCCUCAGUCAUUAAUUUUACCUAAUUAUGGUUUUGGUUGUUUUGUUCAUAAAAAUGCUUUUACUAAAGGAUGUUCUGGUAAUGAAAAAAUUUAUAAAAAAACAAACAUGGGUGUGCUGAUAUAGUUGGAAAAAUAUGAGUGCAUAACUCCAAACAAAUAAAAGAUACAUAAAAAAAAAAAAGGAGGAUUCUUACCAUAUUAUGCUUUAGUACGCGGCGGAUUUCCUUAGGAUCCCACAACCUACUGCGUCUGCCUGGCUCUUCCUCAGAUUCUUGGCGAACAAUCUCUCGGCCCAUUUCUUGCAAUAAAUCAUGCAUUUGCAAGCAGUUAUCUGACACUGUUAUAAGUGACUUGUCCACGAGGACAUCCAGUCUGUGAGACCCAGAAUCAUCAAGUAUCCUUAACACAAAAUCUUUAUCCUCUCCCUCAAGGAAACACGCAAUAUCUAGAAACAUACUCUUCACCCUGGGCGUUAAUUCUUUAAAACUAAUCUUUAAUGUAUCAUAAAUACCAUGAAUAUCAGAUUCACAAAUCCGAUUUAAGUCGUCCAAUACAUUUUCCCAAUGGCUUUUCCCCUUGAGAUACAGGGAGGAACCCAACACUUUAAGAACUAAUGGAUUGCCAUCGGCAUACCAUACAACCCUCCAUGAGUGCCGGUAGAGAUCUUCAGGACAAUGAUUUUCUUUAACAGCGAAGUUACAAAAAUGCUCGAAAGCCUCAUCAAAUUUCAAUCCAUUGACCCUAUAUAUUUUCUCCACUCCAAAUUUUUCGAGGACUCGUUUAUCCCUGGUGGUUACAACAAUUCUACUUCCUGGACCAUAUUGAUCAAGCCCUCCAAUCAAACCCUCUAAUUGUUCAUCUUUAUUCACAUCAUCGAGUACAAUCAACACCUUCAUGCGUCGGACCCUCCCUUUAGUAAAUUGUGGAAUAUUGGGACCAGCUACUUCAAGUUUUUCACUUAAUAUUGUCGAAAGCAUUUCCUUUUGUAGGUCUUCUAGGCCACCCUCUGUUUCUGAUUUUCUCCCUGCUGUACCGUACAUCCGCCUUGGCCGUACAGCAGAAAAAAAUUAAUGUUUUAGUUUUAGUACAAAACUUACCUUUUCUCCUUCCCAAAGUUGCUCAACUUUACUAAAACGCAAAUUCAGUUCAACAAGGUUCAUUGGCUUGAAAUUUGAUGGCAGUGUCCUUAAUGGAUAUGUGUCCCAAUGAAGAUAUCUCAAUUUUUUAGGAAGAUAAUCUAGGCCAUUUGGAAGCUGCACUUUAGAGUAUGAAAGUUGCUCUUCAAUGCUCAUACUUAGAAACCUUUCAAUCUCAGGUACAUAAAAUUUGAGCAAUCUUAGAUUAGACAUUUUUGUGAAGGCUCCUGGGUCUAAAUUGAUGCCUUUUAUUUUGGACAAAUCCAGAAAUAUGCCUUCAAUUGCAUCGGUCCCCUUAUUAAAAAAAAAAACAAAGAAUGAGUAACCCUAAAACAGAAA
Molecule: long non-coding RNA, 2534 nt
Filed under: Citrus sinensis (sweet orange)
Lineage: Eukaryota; Viridiplantae; Streptophyta; Magnoliopsida; Sapindales; Rutaceae
Description: long non-coding RNA (CSIN_LNC004564)
Source: RNAcentral